Molecule: transfer RNA, 64 nt
Filed under: Dipodomys ordii (Ord's kangaroo rat)
Lineage: Eukaryota; Metazoa; Chordata; Mammalia; Rodentia; Heteromyidae
Rfam family: tRNA
About the family: Transfer RNA (tRNA) molecules are approximately 80 nucleotides in length. Their secondary structure includes four short double-helical elements and three loops (D, anti-codon, and T loops).
Source: Rfam by way of RNAcentral
GGUGGCUCAGUGGUAGAGUGCUUGCCUUGCAUGCAUGAGGCCCUGGGAUCAUUCCUCAGCACCA